CCCCCCCCCCAAGAGCCUCGUGUUUACAUUCCCAGACCGAUAGAGAACAAGUGCCGUGAGGGGAAGAUGAAAAGCGCUUUGGAAAGAGAGUUUUAAGUACGUGAAAUUGUCUAAAGGGAAGCGCUUGAAGUCAGCCAUGCUGCUUGAGACUCAGCCUGGCCUUUGGGCUUGGUGUAUUUCUCGGUGGCAAGCCAGCAUUGGUUUGGGUCGUCGGAGAAGCGCAUAGGGAAUGUGGCGUUCCCGGACGUGUUAUAGCCUUAUGCAGGAUACGACGACCUGGAUCAAGGAACGCAGUGUGCCCUACCUCGCGGGUCUUCGGACACCUUC
This 327-nucleotide ribosomal RNA is filed under the name Malassezia globosa. RNAcentral describes it as "LSU rRNA". It matches the Rfam family "Eukaryotic large subunit ribosomal RNA", at positions 302 to 612 of the family's 3401-position model. The record is from RNAcentral. Lineage: Eukaryota; Fungi; Basidiomycota; Malasseziomycetes; Malasseziales; Malasseziaceae.